UUGGACCUGAUAUCAGGCAAGAUUACCCGCUGAACUUA
This 38-nucleotide non-coding RNA is filed under the name Phytophthora capsici. Lineage: Eukaryota; Oomycota; Peronosporomycetes; Peronosporales; Peronosporaceae. The record is from RNAcentral. RNAcentral also lists the same sequence under 6 other names.